This 4055-nucleotide long non-coding RNA is filed under the name Chrysemys picta bellii (western painted turtle). Its description in RNAcentral is "lncRNA (ENSCPBG00000006159.1)". The record is from RNAcentral. Lineage: Eukaryota; Metazoa; Chordata; Testudines; Emydidae.
UUGUCUACAAAUUUUGUAACUUCACUGUCCACCCCCUUUUCCAGAUCAUGUAUGUAUAUGUCGAACAGCAUAGGUCCCAAUACAGAUCCUUGGGGGACCAUGCUAUUUAUUGUGAAAAUUGAUCACUUAUUCCUACACUUUUCCCCCUAUCUUUUAACCAGCUACUGAUCCAUGAUAGCACCUUCCCUCUGAUCCCAUGAUUGCUUACUUUGCUUAAGAAAUUUAAGAGCCAUACAGAUAAUGGUUUGUGGAAGGAGGAGGCAAAAAGAAAGGUUCUGGCUGGCUGCUGUGUCACCAGGGAAGUAUGGUGGAAGCUUCAAGUCUGAAAUAUUUUUACAUGGUCUGAGCGUGUCUACUUCUCUGCUUUGCUACAAGGCUGUCUAUUCCUUGGCAACGGUUUGCUUAUUGUUUCAGCUUCAGGUUCAGCUGAAUCAGCGCUAAGCAAAUUGCUGGUACUCUCCUUAGUAUUUGUUUCCCUUGUAAAAAUGAUCAGCUACAAGUCUAAAAGGCUACUGCAUCAAAACCAGAGAAACACCAAACAACAAAAGAUUGUAUUUAUCUAUUUUCUUUGAGGGCUUGGGAACAGUUUAGUCUUGCAUGGCUUAUCAUCAAAAUGGGUUUAUCAGCACUGCCUGAAGUGUGAGACCGGGACAAGAUAGAUGUUGCUAUACAUGUUUGUUUGGUUUUCUUUGUGUGGGGCGGGGGGUUGAUUUUUUUUAGUGAUUUUCCUUUUCCAGUCUCUUGGUCCUUCUCUCUGUUUGUUGCAUAACUCAGGUUACUUUAAAUGGUCUGUUUCCCUUUGAAUUUCUUUUUGUUUGUUUGCCCUCCUCUUUGCUAGUGGCUAAAUUAAUAAUACCUUACCACUAUUCCAGAGAAUGUCAUGGCUGCUACCACACACUGCUGUUGCGGUGGUGUUGAGCCAGUAACUAGAAUAAUUAUGAGGAAUCUGCUUCUCUGUGGAGACUUGAACCAAGAACAGAGGCUCUCAUAGCAGCAUUAGCAGCAGCACUAACUAAGGAUUUCCAUUUUCCUGGGAUAAGUAACACUUGUAGCUUCUUUCCAGGCCUCCAGCCAUGAAGGGUGAGUAUGUUAUAUCAUUUUACAAGUGAUAUCACCUCUUAGAACAGUAUGUGUGAGCUGUUUAUGGGAAGAAAAAAUAAUUAAAUGCAAGAUUAUGAGAUGAUGGAAGAUCUCAGGGGACUGAUGGUGAACUAUAGAAAUGUCCAUCACAUGGGCACAUGUACUUGUAACAAAAAUCAGCACCACAGCAGUCUCAGCAGAGAUGCAUAGGAGUGAACUGGUAUGCAGACUGAAUGACCCUCUCAUCUCUAGAGUGGUCAUUCCAGGUCAGGACUAGAAUGCAUUGGUGAGGUUGUAACAAAGAAUGGUGAAGAGAUUUGAAAGCUAAUUAAGUUAGCCACUUAGGGGCUGUCCAUAAAUUGUGUAACACAGUAGUGGAUGGGUGGUUCUUAAUUGUGCGUGUUUGUUUGAGUGUUACAAGGGGUGGGUGGGUCUUGAAAAUCACCAAAAAAUGUGUUACCUAAUUUAUGACAGUCCCCUGGACCAAAAUCCUAAAAGGUAUUGAGGUGCCUAUCUCCUAAUCAGUGGGAGUUAGGAAACUCAGUACCUUUGAAGAUCUGGGCCUUAGGGCCUGUUUCUCACCAAGGUGCCUUUACAAUGUAAAGGAGCCUCAAAAUGGAUAUUAAUAUAAUUUACACCCACUUAACUUCUACACUGCCAGAUUGGUAUAAUGGGGCCUUAGGGUGAAAGAGAAUUAGGCCUUUACUUUCUCAGUUCUCAUUUACCCCAAAGAUAGCCUUGUUAACCAUGUUACCAUCUCCAAUGUUUAGGGCUACCCAACAGUGCAUUGUGGUUAAUACAUGGCUCCUCAUAUCAGUUUUAAAUCAGUUUGUAUAAGAAACUUUGCACAGACUUAUCUUACCACCACCAUUCACCACAGGUGCUACAUGUAUCAUAACACGAAGCUCGUUUUUAAAAAAAAUCAGGGCCCUUUAAGAUGAAAUCACAAAAAGUAAUGCCUAAUGGAACCAUGUCAGUGAUGUCAUCCAGAAAAGAGUUAAUGGACAGGAGAGAUCUAAUAUAGAAGUAAAACACCAGCCCCAGAUUUACAGAAGGGACUGAUAAUUUUUGGUACCUACAUUUUCUAUUGUCCAAUUUGAGAUGCUUUAAAGGGACCUAAUUUUCAGAAAGUGCUGAGCAACUGCCCUUUGCAAAUCAGGCUCCUUUAAUGCAUAUCAAACUGAGCACCCAAAAUCACCAGUCAGUUUUGAAAUGUCUUGCAGCUAGUCUCCAAGGAGGAUGUUGCUGGUGGCACUUUUCUAUUGCACUCCCUCCUGGCUACUGCAUGUAAUUCUAUAAAUAUUGCUGUCAAAUCAAAGGCCAGGCAUUCCCCACUCUCUUGGAUUACUAGGUAUGGGACUGUGUCUUCAUAUAUGCAUAGAAAGUGCCUAGCACAUGGUGGAUGCUCCCAAAAUCCAAACAAAAAUAAUCAGAUGCUUACAGAACAGUGGUCAAGGGCAAAAAAACAGUAAAACGGCAGGCCUAACUGCUGGAGAAACCAGAAUGUCUUUUGAAAGUGCAUCUGUACUGCCUAGAGUAUGCAAAUUUUAGAUCUUUAGCAACAAGCUGACAAGAUAGAAUGCAUAUAGUUACUUAAUCUAAUUAAAUGUGCCAACUCCUAAUCAAGAUAUAAAAGUACAUAAUGCUCUGUUUCAUUACAGCAGUUUUAUUAAAAUGUGCUAUUGUUGCAGCAGGAUAGCAGUAUGUAUCAUGGCUAACUAUUAUAUUGGCAGAUUGGCUGUUAACACUUGGUAGCUAGAUAUGAGUCUUCCAAUUAGCUUAGAACAGAGAUUUAGAACCCAUCAGCAAUCUUCUUUUAAAAUUUCUCAGUUAAACUGUAAUGGCAGCAAAGCCAAGCUUUUGGUACUGUGACAUCUCAAGUGUCUCUCUGUGAGGUGUGCUGACUUUAGGACAGAUUCUGAUGUUCUUUACACCUGUCAAGUAAUACCUGACACCACAUGUGAGCCCAAUGAGGAUAAUGGGAUCACUCAUGGAGUAAAGUAAGAGUAACGGUAUCAGAUUCUAGCCCUUUGUGUGUUGGAGGGAGCAACGUCACCAACACAGAGGGGAAAAGACCCGCUAUUACAGGCAGCUACAGAUGUUUGUUUUUAGCUCAUGUGAUAGAGUCCUGUGUUUUUGGAGCUGAAGUACAAGGAUUCUAGUCUUAGUUCUUCCCUUUGUGUUUGAUUUAUGUAAUAACUGAGCCUGUUCUCUGCAGUGGACGUUCUUAUUAAAACUCCCAACAUCCUUGAAUUUUGAGUCGUUCCCUUUCCAUGGCUUCCUCCUCUGCAUCAAGUUAAAGGACAUCCAUUUCUCUCUUGUCUUUUGGCUGCCUGCACUCAUGCCCAUCUGUUAAGAUAGGCUGAUGUUGCUUUCAAAUUAGACUCUUGCUCAGGCAUAGAUCUCAGGUGAAGAUGGGAUUAUAUGAGUUGUCCACUUAACAAUGGAAGCAUCAUCUCUUAAGCAGGAAGUAUUCCUUUGUGCUAGCUCUAAAGAACUGGUAAUACAUGUCUCUGUGCUUAAUCCCACGUGUUGACACUUAGUAUAUUGUACAUAUACAUCAUACAAAUCUUAAACAGCAGAGUGUGCUUGCUAGUAGAAAGGAAGGCAAAAUUACAGAGGUCAGGAGCACUUCUAGAGUCUAACACUAUGUUUUGCUACUGCUGAUACCCUGAAGACCCCCUGAGUUGGCCAAAUGUAUGAAAUGCAAGAAUACUGUUUGCAUUACUUCUGUGUAAAUGUAAUGUCAUGGAUGGCAGUGGUGCAUUGGUCACAAACUAAAGAGAGGAGAUGCGAACUUACAUCAAAAAAAAAAAUCAAGCAGCCUAAGAAUUGCAACUUGCUUCAUGAGUAGUAAGGUGUACUGAUGCUUGCUUACCUGAGGCAAAGGCAAAAACAUUUACAUGUGUUGGUUCUAAGUGAAAAUUACCCUUAUUUGCACAGAACGUGUUAAAAUAAAAUAUUGGUGCAAAGCA